GGCUCGAUGGCCGAGUGGUCUAAGGCGCUACGUUAAGGUUACCUUAAUCCGUAUCAGGCUUUGCCUGGGUCUACCGUAGUCCGAAAGGGCGUGGGUUCGAGUCCCACUCGAGUCA
Molecule: transfer RNA, 115 nt
Organism: Ceraceosorus bombacis
Lineage: Eukaryota; Fungi; Basidiomycota; Exobasidiomycetes; Ceraceosorales; Ceraceosoraceae
Rfam family: tRNA
About the family: Transfer RNA (tRNA) molecules are approximately 80 nucleotides in length. Their secondary structure includes four short double-helical elements and three loops (D, anti-codon, and T loops).
Source: Rfam